UUGCUCUCACUUUUCCACUCCCCACUCUUUCCUCCACUCCCACACACUCUCCUCCUACCUCUCCCCACGAAAUUGCUGCUCCACCUAGCUUCAUGGCCGGCCAUGGCCAUGAAAAGCUCUCCAAGAUGAAGCUCUCCCCCUCCCUCAAGCUCCCCCUCUCCAUGAGAGCAUCCCUCUCCUUCUUCUCCCCAAUCCUAGAUGGUUUUCUCUCCUCUUCUUCUUCCUCCCUUGCUAAGAUUGGAUCUUGAUGCAGGUGCAUGUUGGUCCAAGCAUGGAGAAGGUUGAGCUAUCCUCAGAUCUGAAGUUCUUGAGCAAAAUCCAAAUCGAGUGGUUCAAAGUUCUGCAGAUAGGGGAUAAUUGGUUUAUACCAUGGUGAUAACCGAGAGAGGCAAUUGCUAAGUUGUGACGCACUCAUACCUCUACUAGAUGCGAACACUUCCGGAGAAGAAGAAGAAGUGGAAUCGGACGGGGAUUUUAUUUUUAUUGUUGGAAUACAUAUUUGAUGGAGUUGAAGAAGUCCAGGGACAAAUAAGCCAACCAAGGCAAGCCAUCUCUUGAUCUCUGAAUGUUGAAUCACAUAUCGUGGUUACUUUGUUGUUAUUCUUGUCUCUCGAUAUUUUUU
This is a long non-coding RNA of Lolium perenne, 622 nucleotides long. RefSeq lists it as uncharacterized. The record is from RefSeq and is a predicted model, not a curated record. Lineage: Eukaryota; Viridiplantae; Streptophyta; Magnoliopsida; Poales; Poaceae.